This 4813-nucleotide long non-coding RNA is filed under the name Nicotiana benthamiana. RNAcentral describes it as "long non-coding RNA (NBEN_LNC042354)". Lineage: Eukaryota; Viridiplantae; Streptophyta; Magnoliopsida; Solanales; Solanaceae. The record is from RNAcentral.
GAAGACACCUACCGGUCAAAUAAACUGUACAAUUAUAGGAACUUCUGAAAUGAUAUACAUAUAUUUAUUUAAGGAGUGCACAGAGUGAUUAAUAAUACUAAAAUCACAAAAGGGAAGAACAACAAGCAACAAUUAGAAUAUAAGAAGUGAUGAUACAUACUGACGGCAGACAUAAUCCAUCUACUAAGAUAACAACAUAGUAAGGGGAAAAACAAACCAAUAACUCAUGUUCUACGAUGAUGCUCACUUAAGGUCUUAUUCGACUGUUUCCACAAGUUUACCAAAUCUUGGACAAAACUCAACUCAUAAAAUCCCAGCAUCUGAUAUCUAACACUUGGCAUCCUGUGCCCCAUUAGACUCACAGUCAUGCUAGCCACUAACAAGCCAACUACGGCCACUCUUACAUAUAAAUUGAUUAAACGAGGAGUACCUCUAUGCUUAGAAAAACCAAGGGAACUUCACCUCCAAUAGGGGUGUUUCAACUACGUGUAUGCAUGUGCAAGUGCUUUAACAUGUUUUCCACCAGCUAAUAAAGAUAAGAAGAAGAGCGGCAGCACUCUCAAUGUUUCCUCACCGCAUCUACAAGAUAAAUCUCAUAAAGGAAAUGAAACAGAAUAAAAACAUUAAACGAAGAUAGGAAUGCCUCCAGAGGCCGUCACAAUCAAUAUAAUCAAUCUCUAACAUAGCCCACCUUAGGUCACCAUGUGUGCAAUAAAUAACAUAAUAAGUACCACCUUAUUUCGCCACUCGUGAAUCAUAGUAUUUCCCCACUUAUUUCGCCACAUGCACAACCCACAUAUAAGCGUAUGAACAUCUCUCGCCUUAUUACACCGCACGUGCAAUAAAUCAAUGGCAGCAGUGGCAUGUCAAAGACCUCGUGCAAACUCUCAACAAAAAUCGCAUGGCAGAAACCUCAUGUAUCACAUAUCAAUAACUGCAUGGCAGAAACCUCGUGCACCACAAUAUCAACAGUAGCACGGCAGAAACCUCGUGCAUCACAGUAUCAACAACUGCACGGCACAAACCUCGUGCACCAUAAUAUUAAUAGUAGCACGACAUAAAUCUCAUGCAUCACAAUAUCAAGUACAACUGCAACAAUUGCAAUAUAUAUUGGAAUGAAGCAAAAGAAUCACUAAGGUAUUUCCGUUCACCAAAAGACAGUACAACUAACUCAUAAGGAAUACCUGUAACAGAGAAAUACAAAGCGCAAAAAGGAAUAAAUGAUAAGAAACAACGAUUCCAUAAUACUCAGUUCAACAACAAGGAAGUUAACANNNNNNNNNNNNNNNNNNNNNNNNNNNNNNNNNNNNNNNNNNNNNNNNNNNNNNNNNNNNNNNNNNNNNNNNNNNNNNNNNNNNNNNNNNNNNNNNNNNNNNNNNNNNNNNNNNNNNNNNNNNNNNNNNNNNNNUGAACCAAAUAAUUACAAUUAUAAAUGAUAAGAAACAACGAUUCCAUAAUACUCAGUUCAACAACAAGGAAGUUAACAUGAACCAAAUAAUUACAAUUAAGGAAGUAUCAACUAAACAUAUUUUAUCUAACUUCUUUUCAUUUAAGACCAAUUAAUUACACGAGAGAUAGAAACAAUACUUUACAAAUAAAGACGAGCAGUUAGGAAUGAUAAUGCUACAAUAGAAGGGUAAGUGUCCAUAAUUAAUCAAGUAAAAGUCGAUUAGGCAACAAGAACAAACCAAACCGGACAAAGAAAUUCCAGGUAAGACAUGUAGAGGGGAAACUAAUAACAGGGAACUCAAUUGUAUCAAGAACAACUUCAUAUUCGGUGAUUACAAAUAUCUAAGAGCCUAAAAGGGACAAAUUGUUCACAAAUAGAUCCGAGCACGCACUCGUCACCUUAUGUACAAGGAAUUAAAGCAACAAAGAAGACUCAAUUCCUAAGGGGAAGUCCCCUGCAUAAGGUUAGGAAAGAUACUUACCUCGAACUAGCUAAAAUAAAAUAGCAACCACGUUCUUGCCAUGAGUACUCAACUACAAAUAUCCGAAAUCUAUUCAAUUCAAUCACGCAUUGUAAAUAACAUCUCAAGAAACUAAUUCUACUAUUUAGUUCAAGCUAAGACGCGAAUUUAGGUAAAAUAACCAAAAUACCCAUCAAGCCAACAUGGUCAAAACCCAGGGUUCGAACCAAAACCCGGUUAUCCAUUCCCCACGAACACAAAUAUAUGAUUCAUUUUGUAAUCAAACCUCAAAUUGAGGUCCAAAUUCCUAAUUUUAGAAAAACCUAGGUUCUACCCAAAACAUCCAAUUUCACCAAUGAAAACCCUUGAUUUUAAGUUGAAGAUGUUGAUGAUUGAACUAAAUGAGUAAAAUUUGCUCUUCAAAAAUGCCCCAAAUCAGUUGUGUUUUGAAAAUGGGGUGAAAAUGUCUCAAAUUCGACUAAGUAUGGAAAAUGCAAGUUGCAUAUGUGGGAAAUGCGAACUGGCGUUCGCAAUUGCGAACCCCAACUAAUAAUACAUAUUGCGAACUUUUGUACGCAUUUGCAAACUCAUAACCAACUGGAGGACUUUGCAUUUGCGACUAAUGUAUCGCAUUUGCGAACGUCUAACCUUCGCAUUUGCGAAGCGUUUUAUCCCAUUAGCGAUUCAAGGCACGCUUGGCUGGUUUCCCAUUUGCGAUCCGGCCUUCGCAUUUGCGAGUUUGCAUUUACAAACCAAGAUGCGCAAAUGAGACCCAUGCAAGCAUGUUCAUACCAGAUUUUUCAAAAAUUUAAAAAUGCAAUCCGACGCCUAUCCAAACCUCACCCGAGCCCUCGGGGCUCCAAAACAAAUAUGCACACAACCUCAAAAAUAUCCUAGAGACUUAUUAGCACGAUCAAAUUGCCAAAAUAACAUCAUAUACAUCAAAUUAAGACUCAAAACUCAUUAUUUCCUCCAAAUUUUCGUAAAACAGCAUAUUUCAUUGUAAGUUCGAAACACGUCAAAUGACAUUCAUUUUCAACCAAGUGCUUAAACCAUAUAUAAGACUUGUAUCGAGGGCCAAAAAUAAAAUAUGGGCCCGAUACCAUUGUCUUUUAAUCAAAUUUCAUUUUCAAUUUCUUUAAUUAUUUCCAGAAGAUAAUUUUACGCAAAAAUUCAUUUCUCGGGCUUGGGAACUCAAAAUUCGAUUCCGGGCAUACGCCCAAGUCCCAUAUUUUUUUGCCGACCCUACAGGACUGUCAAAUUAUGAUUCCGGGUCCGUUUACUCAAAAAGUUGACCAGAGUAAAACUUAUUCAACUUAAUAUCAAAUUUUAGUAUUUUUCUCACAGAAUUCAUAUCUAAACUUUCUGGUUAUGUGCUCAGACUACGCAGGCAAAUUAAGGCAACCCCAGAUGAGGUUUUUAAGGCCUCGAAAGUACAUAAUAGGUAACAAAAUAAGUGAUGAUCCCUUUGGGUCUUCACACAGUCGAAUAGAACAAAAUUACAAGGUUGAAAGUUACCUAGAUUGUAGAAUUUUAAACGCAGCCUUAAGGUAGAGAAAAACGACUAGUUAAACCAGCAACGACAACUAAAAACCAGCAAAAGACACCCAAAACAAACCAGAAAAUCAAACCCAGAAACUUCAGGCACUUUCAAAGAAACUAAAGUUACUACUUUUAUUUUUUGGAAGAUUUUUUCUUGGUUUCAGCUUACUGUAAUGUAUUUAGAUGUUGAUAUUUUGUGAAGGAGGGACCCUCUCUUUAUAGUAGUAGAAGUUCGUUGAGGUUAGGUUCUGCCUUAACAAAAAAUGUGUCCAAAAAAUAAGAAAAAGAACUGACUUUUUUCACAAAUUUCUGACAAAUACAAAAGUAGAUGUACUCCCAACAAUUCCAAAACAGUCAAAUAAACCAAACAUGUAUUCUACUUCAUCAUUUACCUUUUACCCUUCACAAUCUAAUAUCAAACUAACUAACCAAUUCAAGCCGAUGUAAAAGCAGAAAAUUCAGCAUUCAACUUAGCCAAUUAAACUAAUGUUUAUAUGAUCAAUAUAAGGGAAAAAUAAAAAAUCUAUGAUUAGGCAAGAGAUGUAUUAUAGUGAAGUACCUAACUGAGCGUCGAAAUCAGAAACAAUACUAUAGAAAUUAGUGGAUCGAUCAUUAUCAGAACUAAAACCUAAACAAACUAACAAAUUAAUUAAGAAAAAACAAAAAAAUCUAAGACAAAGAAAAAAGGAUUAGGAAUUUUACCAAACUCGAAUACCCGGGCAAUGUCAUAAUAAUAACAAUAGGCAGUGGUUCGGGCUCAGGCAUGCUUUUAUUGUUGAUAUACACCAAAAUCAUAAAUUCGUACAAACCGAAAAAUGGUUUUGGUAUUGUCAAUAUUAGAAACCUACACGAGGCUAGAGAUAAAGAUGAGAGGCAGGAGCCGCGAUGUUGGGCGGUCAGUUGUGGCAGUGGUGGUUGCCUAAAAGGCCACCGGACACUGGUGGUCGGAGUUAAAUCAAUGGAAAAAAUAGAGUUGAAGGAGCUAUAUCUGUUCAUGUACGUAUGAUAGGGUGGUGGUGGCUGGAGCUUCACGAAUUUGACAAAAAAUUAUCAUUGGGGCUUUCCUAGAUCUAGAAUUUGUGGAAUUUUAGGUGGUUUUGAAGGAUUUUAUUUGAAGAUACAGAAAGAGGAGGUUGUGUCAAUUAUAUGGUGAGAUUUUGAGGUCAUUUGGAGCGACGACAACGCUGGCGGAUGGCGAUAGUGGCGAUGGAGAUGGGCGGUGCGGCGGCCAGAGAGGGGGGAAAGGAUAGCGGCUUUAGGGUUUGGUUAAAGUAAAAGAGAAGGCCAAAAAUCUGAUUUUAGGGGCCUUAUAUACCUUUGAGGAUAUUGAAUAAGGGCUAUUGAAUUAGAAUAUGAUGAAG